UGGGGAAUAUUGGACAAUGGGCGCAAGCCUGAUCCAGCCAUGCCGCGUGAGUGAUGAAGGCCCUAGGGUUGUAAACCGCUUUCAGCAGGGAAGAAAAUGACGGUACCUGUAGAAGAAGGUGCGGCCAACUACGUGCCAGCAGCCGCGGUGACACGUAGGCACCAAGCGUUGUCCGGAUUUAUUGGGCGUAAAGAGCUCGUAGGCGGUUCGGUAAGUCGGGUGUGAAAACUCUGGGCUCAACCCAGAGACGCCACCCGAUACUGCUGUGACUAGAGUGCGGUAGGGGAGCGGGGAAUUCCUGGUGUAGCGGUGAAAUGCGCAGAUAUCAGGAGGAACACCAGUGGCGAAGGCGCCGCUCUGGGCCGUGACUGACGCUGAGGAGCGAAAGCGUGGGUAGCAAA
This 401-nucleotide ribosomal RNA is filed under the name uncultured bacterium. RNAcentral describes it as "bacterial SSU rRNA". It matches the Rfam family "Bacterial small subunit ribosomal RNA", at positions 355 to 772 of the family's 1533-position model. The record is from RNAcentral.